This 590-nucleotide ribosomal RNA is filed under the name uncultured bacterium. Its description in RNAcentral is "bacterial SSU rRNA". It matches the Rfam family "Bacterial small subunit ribosomal RNA", at positions 334 to 917 of the family's 1533-position model. The record is from RNAcentral.
UACUCCUACGGGAGGCAGCAGUGGGGAAUUUUGGACAAUGGGCGAAAGCCUGAUCCAGCAAUGCCGCGUGUGUGAAGAAGGCCUUCGGGUUGUAAAGCACUUUUGUCCGGAAAGAAAUCCUUGGCUCUAAUACAGUCGGGGGAUGACGGUACCGGAAGAAUAAGCACCGGCUAACUACGUGCCAGCAGCCGCGGUAAUACGUAGGGUGCAAGCGUUAAUCGGAAUUACUGGGCGUAAAGCGUGCGCAGGCGGUUUGCUAAGACCGAUGUGAAAUCCCCGGGCCCAACCUGGGAACUGCAUUGGUGACUGGCAGGCUAGAGUAUGGCAGAGGGGGGUAGAAUUCCACGUGUAGCAGUGAAAUGCGUAGAGAUGUGGAGGAAUACCGAUGGCGAAGGCAGCCCCCUGGGCCAAUACUGACGCUCAUGCACGAAAGCGUGGGGAGCAAACAGGAUUAGAUACCCUGGUAGUCCACGCCCUAAACGAUGUCAACUAGUUGUUGGGGAUUCAUUUCCUUAGUAACGUAGCUAACGCGUGAAGUUGACCGCCUGGGGAGUACGGUCGCAAGAUUAAAACUCAAAGGAAUUGACGGA